UCCCAUUCCGAACAGAGAAGUUAAGCCCCGCCGAGCCGAUGGUACUGCGGUCACACGCGGGAGAGUAGGUAGCCGCCAACC
This 81-nucleotide ribosomal RNA is filed under the name Rufibacter sediminis. Lineage: Bacteria; Pseudomonadati; Bacteroidota; Cytophagia; Cytophagales; Hymenobacteraceae. The record is from RNAcentral.